This 818-nucleotide long non-coding RNA is filed under the name Callithrix jacchus (white-tufted-ear marmoset). RNAcentral describes it as "lncRNA (ENSCJAG00000080791.1)". Lineage: Eukaryota; Metazoa; Chordata; Mammalia; Primates; Cebidae. The record is from RNAcentral.
GGCGCAGGUGAGCCCGAGGCGGCUCCACGUGCCCCCAGGGCCCUUAGGGCCCCGCCUGCAGUCCGGGCUCGCGGAGAAAGGAAGCGGGCCGGGAGCCCAGAGGCGGGGACGUGGCCAUGCCGCGGGGAGCUGAGCAGAGCCUGCGGGCCUCUCGGGCUAACAAGGCGCAGAUAUGUGGGCAUCUCGGUUGCCUAACUCAGAGUCACCUGCUUCCAGGAGACCUCGGUUUUGUUCAUCUACUCUGAGCCCUUCCAAAGUCCUGCCUCGCCUACUUCCACUCUUUCCCAUUAGACAUCACUCAGUAAAACAUCCUGAGAAAAAGACUUAAAAUAAAUGCAGAGUGGGAGAAAAUAAUGGAGUUACUCCAUUGCUGCAACUAUGCUAACUAUGCAUGCAUAUGAAUAAAGAAGUGGGGAAUUACAUUCGUGGGUGCCUUAAGGCUGCUGUGAUCAGUUUUUAUUUUUGCUUUCUUUUUUUUCGAAUUCCCUUUUCUGUUGUCCUGAACACUCCGGAAUCCCCAAACUUUUCAGAAGCUCCCUCAUUUCUGAUGACUCCUGAUUUUGUCAGUUUUAAUCUGCCCCCGGGGAAUUAUCAUUCCGGUAUAAGGAUGACUUUAUGCCAAUUCAAGUACCUGCUUCCCUAGAGACCAGCAAUCUUGGUCUAGAGAUAGUGGAGAUCACUAGAAGGUCAUGGUCAUUAUUAAUGCUUUGGUAAGAAACUAUCCAAACAGAAAAUCAUGGUAAAGCUCCUUGGAUUCUCUUGCAUUUAAACAACUGACAAUAUAUUUCCCUACUGAGAAGAGAAAGCAAAUUACACAC